UUCUCUGUCUCCCUCACUCCCCUCUCUAUCUCCCUCUCUCACACACGACAAACACGCACACACUCUCCUUUCUCUGUCAUGGUCUCUUGCUCUCUCUCUCUCUCACCCUCUCUCUCUCUCUCUCUUGCGCUCCCUCUACCUUGCUCUCUUCUGUGCGUGUAAGUUCAUUCGCUGUGUCAAGCAACAACUGGCUCAGGAGUGAGAAGUGGGCUUUUGAUCCUCUUUAUCGAGCAUCCCGGUGAGGAUGCAGCAUCCGCAUCCACCUGUACACCCUGGGACUGCCUUGCUGCCUCAUCGCCUCUCUCUCUCUCGCUGUGGCUCUCUAACUGUAUCGGAGGCACUGCGGAGAGCUGGUGCUCUGCUAUACUGACCAUAUCACAGGCAGAAAUCUCACGCAGCAGACGCUCUGCAGGAAACAGACACUGGACCUGAGGGCUGGGAGGCAGGAGCGAUUCAGUGGGAUUUUGCGUACGGUGUAGAGCUGGGGAGCAGCUCGUGUGCUGGUGCUGGAAGAACACAGCAUGAGCCGGGCACUUAAAUCCUCGGCAGUCCAGAAAGACCAUUGAUGGGGCCUUGCCUUGUGCCGCAAAUCAUCUUCAAUCAAUUGUUUUGAAAGGCCUUGCCGUUUGCCAAACGGCUGAGGACAAUGCUUGCGAUUCCGCUAUUGCUUUCUCCUUAGAAAGACUCUCUUCGGUGACGGGUAUUCUUGGGUGGAUAAUACGGAUCACGUUGUUAUUGCUUAAGAAUACGCGUAGUCGAGGAGAGUCAUGUCGGCGGUGACGGCAGGGGACUAGAGAGAGCACAGAGGCCAGAGAGCCCACCUGCCCACCACACACACACACACACACACACACACUACCAAAGCUCACACUCAGGUCAUUUAACAAGCAAGCAGACAGAUCUUGUGUUUCUGUGUGUGAUAUGUGUUGUUGAGUAUCUACAGAAAGGGGCUUGUUCACCAUGUAGCCUUAUUCCUCGACAAAAUGAAAAACUGUUUAAUGUAAAAAAAAAAAGAAGACUGCAUUGAUUUUAAGUCCCCAUCUGCACCAAUGAUCAUUCUGCCCAGCAUUUCUAUCUGAAUAUAAGCUUAUAGACAAUUUUUUUUUUGUUUGUUUAAUCCUUGUGCGUAUUGGUAAAUGGAAUAGCAUAAUCAGGGAGGAUAUGUGGGUCUGUAGAUGGCAAAACACAUAGUCUACGGCAUUUAUUAUCUGUCCUUAGGACCACACACUCUUCACUUCCCACUCCAGCUUUUUUCAUGCAAAUUGAUUUAGAAAUGACAUUUAUCGUGUGGGGUUUCCACAUGCAAGCCUACCGCACCACGAGGGCUGACAAAAAAAAUGUCCACCAAGCCAACGACAGCUCAAUUUAUGCGCUCGAAGGAAGAGUGAGUGGAAGAGAACACACAGCAGAUAAACAAUUACCACAGCCUUAGAUUGACUACAGCUCUGCUUUCUAUGUAGCCGCACACAUAUCAUGAAUAUGUAUCAGUCACCGCAUAUGAUGGUGCAUUCUAAAGUCUAACACCCAUGAAAAUCCAUUUAAGCAGCAUAAUAGGAUCUACUUGAUCUACUUGACAUGCUAAAUCUUAUAAAUAUACAUGAGAUUUUUUUUUUUUUGGCAGGAAUGUAUUUUUCCUUAUUUUUAAAUUCCACGUAAGGAAAAAGAACAAAAAAAACAAAAAAAACAAUGUUAUUCCGAGAGGAAUAAAAUGUGGAUGUAUUAACAGGGAGGUUUUUUAAAAUCAGCAAACAGUCCAAUUUACUGUUAAUUAUCAUUAAGCACAUUGAAAUGACACAUUAGCAUUUCAGACAGACUAAAGAAAACAAUUCAGUGGCUCUCCUCUUGAUCACCCUGUAAUUAUCAUUCUUUUGGCUGUGCUUUAAUGAACAGAGAGUGGAAGAAAAGCUUGUAAGUACAUGUUAUGGCCUUUUACCACUAGGGUACCCACACAACUGAAAAAUUAUAUGUCUGAUUCACUAUAUUUUCUGCUUCCUGGCAUAAGUAUAGGUUUGUUUUAGGAGGACAAUUUUAAUUAAUUGUAAAAGGACUUAUUUAACUAAACAAGAGAUUUUCUUUUUUUAUUUUCUGGUUUUAAAAAGCACUACAAUGCUUCAUUAUGUGCUUUUUUUACUACAUUAAGGUGAAAUUGAUCGUACAUAUAUUUAAUAAUCACUGCAAUUGUAAUAACAGAACCAACAAAUUGAUGGAUCCUAGCUCUUUUUAACUAUACUAUAAACCACACUCUUUUUUUAACCACGCUAUAAAUAUCCGGAGCAUACAGUGUUUAAUAAAUAACACUAGAAAAUAAUUCUCAAUAUUCCAAAUCAUCCAAAUUAAAAGGCUAAAACAGCAUGCAGGCUUCAACAACAGACAGGAAAAAAAAACACUGAGCUGAGAUUCCCCUCCCCCUAAACCACUGUGAUAUCAGUCUUUUAUUGAUUAUUUGUGCUACUGAUUAUAUUCGUUAUAAUUUGGCCAUUAGAUCACAUACAUUACAUUCAUCAAAAUUUUCUCCACUGAAACAUAUUCCAGUAAAGAAAAAAAAAUGCAUUCUACAAUUAUCAUGUCAUUUACAUUGAUUAUCGUGUUUUAAUAGGACAGUUUUGCUUGUUGUGGAUUCAGAUUUGAUUUCAAAUUGUUGAUAAAUAACCUCAAUGAGUGUAAUGAUAUCACUUGGCCUCCUCUGUUAUCUGGCAUUAUUCAAAUGACCUCACGAGUCUGACUGUAGAAUACUGUGUUUAUAUACCGCAAGGAACCUCAAACAGAAUGUACUUAAAUGCCUUUUAUAUUCAUAUGUUUCUAUUUUCCUCCUUUUUAUAAAUAAAGCUGUAUUUAAUUGAAAUUUAUGCAUUCGGAUAUUUUGUCUCAGGUGUAAGAAUGCUGGUUUUAAUGUAAAUACUCCUAGUGUAGUAGUAGUAGUAGUAGUAGUAGUAGUAGUAGUAGUAAUAAUAAUAAUAAUAAUAAUAAUAAUAAUAAUAAUAAUAUCACCAAUGUAAUCAUAAUAAAAUGUACAUUAUUUUCAGGAUUCUAUUAAUUUCAAGAUUUUCAGAUUUACCUUCACAAAUCUCUAUUUAUCUAUUUAUAAAUUACCCGGGAAACAAAUGUCUUAAAUAAAACAUUAACGGCUAGAUUAUUUCAAAAUGCAAAUCAGCCCUUUAUGAUUUUUAAGCCGUAGAGAUUUUUUUUUAGAUAAUGUGCAUGAUUAUAUGUACAUAACUAUUUCGAUGUUCUUAUCGCAGUUGGGCAGAUUAUCAGUGUUUAUCCUGUUUAUUCUAACUGUGGCCUAAGCUCUUCUGCCUGCUUCAUCUGCACUAAUCCAUUUACACUCCAGAGCGUAGCUCACUAGCCAACACCUACUCAAGCUUGCCUGCUCUGGCCUAACACAUGCUAGGAGAAGCACAUUUACAUGAAUAUAUAUUCUCUGUCAAACCCUAUCUGUGCUCAUAUUUCACGCAUAGGCUAGGACUGGUCAGCCUGUACAAGAGCCAGAUUCAUUUGCCAAAAUCAGCAUGGACUGAUGGGUAAAACGGUCUGCUAAUAGUUCCUGAUUUGAAAUGAUUUGAAAUAUAUAUAUAUAUAUAUUUAAAAAAAUGUAAAAUUGUUCCAUACUAAUU
This is a long non-coding RNA of Hemibagrus wyckioides, 3614 nucleotides long. RefSeq lists it as uncharacterized. The record is from RefSeq and is a predicted model, not a curated record. Lineage: Eukaryota; Metazoa; Chordata; Actinopteri; Siluriformes; Bagridae. The transcript has 3 exons.